AACGAACGCUGGCGGCAUGCCUAACACAUGCAAGUCGAACGAGACCUUCGGGUCUAGUUGCGCAGGUGUGCUUACGGCGGGGGAAGCUGCCCGUAGGUUAGGAGUAACUCCCCGAAAGGGGUGUUAAGACCAGAUGAGGUAUUAGGACCAAAGAUUUAUCGCGUUUGGAUGGGCGUGCGUUAGUUUAGGUGGUUGGGAGGGUAAUAGCCUACUAAGGGGUGGUUCCAGAGGUGGUGAGAGAGGAUGAUCAGCCAGACUGGGACAGAGACACGACCCAGAUUCCGACGGGAGGAGGCAGUAGUGAAUCUUGGACAAUGGGCGCAUGACUGAUCAAGCCAUGCCGCGUGAGUGAUGCAGGCCUUAGGGAUGUCACUUUCUCUUACCAGGGAUGAUAAUGAACGUACAGGGAGAAUAAGCCACGGCUAACCUCGUG
This 433-nucleotide ribosomal RNA is filed under the name uncultured bacterium. RNAcentral's name for it is "partial 16S ribosomal RNA". It matches the Rfam family "Bacterial small subunit ribosomal RNA", at positions 29 to 507 of the family's 1533-position model. The record is from RNAcentral.